CCUACGGGAGACAGCAGUGAGGAAUAUUGGUCAAUGGACGAGAGUCUGAACCAGCCAAGUAGCGUGAAGGAUGACUGCCCUAUGGGUUGUAAACUUCUUUUAUAUGGGAAUAAAAUGUUCCACGUGUGGGACUUUGAAUUUACCAUAUGAAUAAGGAUCGGCUAACUCCGUGCCAGCAGCCGCGGUAAUACGGAGGAUACGAGCGUUAUCCGGAUUUAUUGGGUUUAAAGGGAGCGUAGGUGGAUUGUUAAGUCAGUUGUGAAAGUUUGCGGCUCAACCGUAAAAUUGCAGUUGAAACUGGCAGUCUGGAGUACAGUAGAGGUGAGCGGAAUUCGUGGUGUAGCGGUGAAAUGCUUAGAUAUCACGAAGAACUCCGAUUGCGAAGGCAGCUCACUGGACUGCAACUGACACUGAGGCGCGAAAGUGUGGGUAUCAAACAGGAUUAGAUACCCCUGUAGUC
RNAcentral lists this ribosomal RNA (460 nucleotides) under uncultured bacterium. RNAcentral's name for it is "partial 16S ribosomal RNA". It matches the Rfam family "Bacterial small subunit ribosomal RNA", at positions 338 to 795 of the family's 1533-position model. The record is from RNAcentral.